GUGAUAUAUUACUUGCAGACCAAGCAAACUUUCCUUGAGAGAGUGAUGAUAGGAUGAAAUCUGAAGGUUUACUUUCAGCAAAUGAAGUGGGAGAGGAAGAGUGUUCCAGGCAAAGGCAACAUCUUGGCAGCUCUUUGGGGGAUGGAAGAAGACCAUGAAGCUCUAAGUGCUUCAGAGGAAUGGGGUUGCCAAAACAGAUGUGAGAGGCCCAGAGAGGAGGCUGGGCCAAUGCUGAAGGGUAUUAUUUUGGGGCUGAGUGCAGAAAUAAGAGAUGCGUG
This 278-nucleotide long non-coding RNA is filed under the name Homo sapiens (human). The record is from RNAcentral. Lineage: Eukaryota; Metazoa; Chordata; Mammalia; Primates; Hominidae.